AAACCAGCACCUCAAGUGGUCAGGAUGAUUAUUGGGCCUAAAGCAUCCGUAGCCUGCUUUAUCAGUUUUCGGUUAAAUCUGUACGCUUAACGUACAGGCUGCCGGGAAUACUGCAGAGCUAGGGAGUGGGAGAGGUAGACGGUACUCGGGAGGAAGUGGUAAAAUGCUUUGAUCUCUCGAUGACCACCUGUGGCGAAGGCGGUCUACCAGAACACGUCCGACGGUGAGGGAUGAAAGCUGGGGGAGCAAACCGGAUUAGAAACCCCAGUAGUCC
This 274-nucleotide ribosomal RNA is filed under the name uncultured bacterium. Its description in RNAcentral is "partial 16S ribosomal RNA". It matches the Rfam family "Archaeal small subunit ribosomal RNA", at positions 473 to 747 of the family's 1478-position model. The record is from RNAcentral.